This 274-nucleotide ribosomal RNA is filed under the name uncultured bacterium. RNAcentral describes it as "partial 16S ribosomal RNA". It matches the Rfam family "Bacterial small subunit ribosomal RNA", at positions 523 to 796 of the family's 1533-position model. The record is from RNAcentral.
AUACGGAGGGUGCAAGCGUUGUCCGGAUUUAUUGGGUUUAAAGGGUGCGCAGGCGGUGCGUUAAGUCAGUGGUGAAAUCUUCCGGCUCAACCGGGAAACUGCCAUUGAUACUGGCGCACUUGAGUACGGACGAGGUAGGCGGAAUUUAUGGUGUAGCGGUGAAAUGCAUAGAUACCAUAAAGAACACCGAUAGCGAAAGCAGCUUACCAGACCGUAACUGACGCUCAGGCACGAAAGCGUGGGGAGCAAACAGGAUUAGAAACCCUAGUAGUCC